AAUGAACGCUGGCGGCGCGCCUAAUACAUGCAAGUCGAGCGAGAAGACGUAGCAAUACGUUUGUAAAGCGGCGAACGGGUGAGGAAUACAUGGGUAACCUACCCUCGAGUGGGGAAUAACUAGCCGAAAGGUUAGCUAAUACCGCGUACGCUUCUUGGACUUCGGUUCAGGGAGGAAAGCGAUACCGUGGGUAUCGCGCUCUUGGAUGGGCUCAUGUCCUAUCAGCUUGUUGGGAGGUAACGGCUCACCAAGGCUUCGACGGGUAGCUGGUCUGAGAGGACGAUCAGCCACACUGGCACUGCGACACGGGCCAGACUCCUACGGGAGGCAGCAGUAAGGAAUAUUGCGCAAUGGGCGAAAGCCUGACGCAGCGACGCCGCGUGGGGGAUGAAGGUCUUCGGAUUGUAAACCCCUUC
This 416-nucleotide ribosomal RNA is filed under the name uncultured bacterium. RNAcentral's name for it is "bacterial SSU rRNA". It matches the Rfam family "Bacterial small subunit ribosomal RNA", at positions 29 to 436 of the family's 1533-position model. The record is from RNAcentral.